UUAACUGCAACUGUGCUCUAGAACAGAUUAUUCCAGGAAUGCUAGCCUUUAUAAGUACAUGUCUCAGAUGGUACUUCAACGUCCAACCAGAGAUGGCAGUGAUUCAGCGAGGAGCAUUCUUGAAGGACUUUGUCAAGGAUGAGGCGCUUAACAACAAUAUUGUCUUGGUAGAGGAGCAUGUAAACAAUGAUGUAUUUGCUUCUUUUAGUCAACACAUGUCAUUUUCCUCUGAGCUUAGUGGAAUUCUAGACAUUGCUCAGCUUUCAAAAAAUCAGUAUUCCUGUAACCUGCUUGAUUUAUUUUUAUUCAGUUAGAAUACAAAAUGUAAUUUUCCUACUCUCAUGGUCCUACUGUAAACUCAUGAUGUAGCUCGGUCUGCAGGUGCUUACUCCUUUGCUCUUGAUUUUUAAGGGUGUUAGUACAAGGGUGCUAGAGAUGCUCUGAAGGCAUAUUGUCUUACUAACUUUUAUGAUCGGCUCUCUCAUGCAA
Long non-coding RNA from Lolium rigidum, 489 nucleotides. RefSeq lists it as uncharacterized. Lineage: Eukaryota; Viridiplantae; Streptophyta; Magnoliopsida; Poales; Poaceae. The transcript has 2 exons. The record is from RefSeq and is a predicted model, not a curated record.